Molecule: unclassified non-coding RNA, 211 nt
Filed under: Hevea brasiliensis (rubber tree)
Lineage: Eukaryota; Viridiplantae; Streptophyta; Magnoliopsida; Malpighiales; Euphorbiaceae
Source: RNAcentral
GUCCAGAAAUUCGCAAUCAAUAAAAAAUUUCAAAUUUGGAAGAUAAGACACUUAACAUGGAGGAUGAAGCAUACUAAAUUGAUGAGAAAGUAGAGAAAAAUCCAAAAAGAUUUGAAGCAUAUGGAUUGAAUCCAUGCAAAAUUGGACAGAAAUGGGCAACUAGUUAUUUGGAUAUUUGAUUGAAUUCCUUGAAAGCAAUAUCUAUUUUCUU